This 247-nucleotide ribosomal RNA is filed under the name uncultured bacterium. Its description in RNAcentral is "partial 16S ribosomal RNA". It matches the Rfam family "Bacterial small subunit ribosomal RNA", at positions 523 to 769 of the family's 1533-position model. The record is from RNAcentral.
AUACGAAGGGGGCUAGCGUUGUUCGGAAUUACUGGGCGUAAAGCGCGCGUAGGCCGCCUUCUAAGUCGGACGUGAAAGCCCUCGGCUCAACCGAGGAACUGCCUUUGAUACUGGGUGUCUAGAGUGUGGAAGAGGUAAGUGGAAUUCCGAGUGUAGAGGUGAAAUUCGUAGAUAUUCGGAGGAACACCAGUGGCGAAGGCGGCUUACUGGUCCAUUACUGACGCUGAGGUGCGAAAGCGUGGGGAGC